GGCAACGUGGCUGAGUGGUUAAAGCGUAUGACUAGAAUUUCAUUAUUUCAUUUCUCCAACCAAGGUGAAGAAAGUUGAAGUACGCAUUGUUCUAGCGCAUCAUAUCCCUUCGGGGUCGUAGGUUCAAAUCCUGCCGUUGUCG
This is a non-coding RNA of Xylariaceae sp. FL0594, 142 nucleotides long. Lineage: Eukaryota; Fungi; Ascomycota; Sordariomycetes; Xylariales; Xylariaceae. The record is from the annotation of a GenBank genome assembly.